CAGACACACAAAUGUGUCACGACACACAAUUGUAAAACUUUAUUGUCUUCUACAAGCAACAUUUACAUAUUUUGUCUGCACAAGGUUUGCUGUGCCAAGUUGGACAUCCAGCCGAACAAUUAUAAACAUGGACACACCUAAAGAUGAAUGUAAUAACAACAAGCCAGAACUGUGAUAACAACAAGCCAGAAUGUGAUAACAACAAGCCGAAGGAGGCAGAGGCAACUUCCAAAAAUCUAGAGUCACAAAAUCCUGAAGCUACCCAGCUAAGUUCUACAGAAGAACUGGGAUGACAAAUUAGACCAAAUGGUCUGCCUUCUAUUGGAGCCUCUCAGCCUCACACAACAACUAGAAGGGGAAGAGACACGCAACAAUCCAUUAUGUUUAAAUCCGGAACAUAACCUUACUGAUGUCCAACUCUCAAGAAUAGAAAGCAAUCCUGUGCUCUGCAGAAGAAUCUAUCUAUCUAUGUCAAAGAGGAAAGCAGCACCCCUAAUAAUGUGAAUAGGUGCCUCCAGCCAGGGUCCCGGUCCAGGAUCCUACCAACGUACUCCAAGG
Hyla sarda is the source of this 558-nucleotide long non-coding RNA. RefSeq lists it as uncharacterized. Lineage: Eukaryota; Metazoa; Chordata; Amphibia; Anura; Hylidae. The record is from RefSeq and is a predicted model, not a curated record. The transcript has 5 exons.